UUAUAAGAGACAGCAGCCGCCGCGGUAAUACAGAGGGUGCGAGCGUUAAUCGGAUUUACUGGGCGUAAAGCGUGCGUAGGCGGCUUCUUAAGUCGGAUGUGAAAUCCCUGAGCUUAACUUAGGAAUUGCAUUCGAUACUGGGAAGCUAGAGUAUGGGAGAGGAUGGUAGAAUUCCAGGUGUAGCGGUGAAAUGCGUAGAGAUCUGGAGGAAUACCGAUGGCGAAGGCAGCCAUCUGGCCUAAUACUGACGCUGAGGUACGAAAGCAUGGGGAGCAAACAGGAUUAGAUACCCGCGUAGUCCCUGUCUCUUAUAC
RNAcentral lists this ribosomal RNA (314 nucleotides) under uncultured bacterium. Its description in RNAcentral is "partial 16S ribosomal RNA". It matches the Rfam family "Bacterial small subunit ribosomal RNA", at positions 499 to 807 of the family's 1533-position model. The record is from RNAcentral.